RNAcentral lists this ribosomal RNA (468 nucleotides) under uncultured bacterium. Its description in RNAcentral is "partial 16S ribosomal RNA". It matches the Rfam family "Bacterial small subunit ribosomal RNA", at positions 28 to 507 of the family's 1533-position model. The record is from RNAcentral.
GACGAACGCUGGCGGCGUGCUUAACACAUGCAAGUCGAACGGAAAGGCCCUGCUUUUGUGGGGUGCUCGAGUGGCGAACGGGUGAGUAACACGUGAGUAACCUGCCCUUGACUUUGGGAUAACUUCAGGAAACUGGGGCUAAUACCGGAUAGGAGCUCCUGCUGCAUGGUGGGGGUUGGAAAGUUUCGGCGGUUGGGGAUGGACUCGCGGCUUAUCAGCUUGUUGGUGGGGUAGUGGCUUACCAAGGCUUUGACGGGUAGCCGGCCUGAGAGGGUGACCGGCCACAUUGGGACUGAGAUACGGCCCAGACUCCUACGGGAGGCAGCAGUGGGGAAUAUUGCACAAUGGGCGGAAGCCUGAUGCAGCAACGCCGCGUGCGGGAUGACGGCCUUCGGGGUGUAAACCGCUUUCGCUUGUGACGAAGCGUGAGUGACGGUAAUGGGUAAAGAAGCACCGGCUAACUACGUG